AGAGUUUGAUCCUGGCUCAGGAUGAACGCUAGCUACAGGCUUAACACAUGCAAGUCGAGGGGAAACGACAUUGGAAGCUUGCUUCCGGUGGGCGUCGACCGGCGCACGGGUGAGUAACGCGUAUCCAACCUGCCCACCACUUGGGAAUAACCUUGCGAAAGUAAGACUAAUGCCCAAUGACAUUGAGUGCAGACAUCUAAUCUCAAUUAAAGAUUCAUCGGUGAUGGAUGGGGAUGCGUCCGAUUAGCUUGUUGGCGGGGUAACGGCCCACCAAGGCGACGAUCGGUAGGGGUUCUGAGAGGAAGGUCCCCCACAUUGGAACUGAGACACGGUCCAAACUCCUACGGGAGGCAGCAGUGAGGAAUAUUGGUCAAUGGGCGAGAGCCUGAACCAGCCAAGUAGCGUGCAGGAUGACGGCCCUAUGGGUUGUAAACUGCUUUUAUAAGGGAAUAAAGUGAGAGUCGUGACUCUUUUUGCAUGUACCUUAUGAAUAAGGACCGGCUAAUUCCGUGCCAGCAGCCGCGGUAAUACGGAAGGUCCGGGCGUUAUCCGGAUUUAUUGGGUUUAAAGGGAGCGUAGGCCGGAGAUUAAGCGUGUUGUGAAAUGUAGACGCUCAACGUCUGCACUGCAGCGCGAACUGGUUUCCUUGAGUACGCACAAAGUGGGCGGAAUUCGUGGUGUAGCGGUGAAAUGCUUAGAUAUCACGAAGAACUCCGAUUGCGAAGGCAGCUCACUGGAGCGCAACUGACGCUGAAGCUCGAAAGUGCGGGUAUCGAACAGGAUUAGAUACCCUGGUAGUCCGCACGGUAAACGAUGGAUGCCCGCUGUUGGUCUGAAUAGGUCAGCGGCCAAGCGAAAGCAUUAAGCAUCCCACCUGGGGAGUACGCCGGCA
Molecule: ribosomal RNA, 892 nt
Filed under: uncultured bacterium
Lineage: Bacteria
Description: bacterial SSU rRNA
Rfam family: Bacterial small subunit ribosomal RNA
Source: RNAcentral